GGGCGGUUAGCUCAGUUGGUAGAGCAUCCCGUUUACACCGGGAAGGUCAUCCGUUCGAGCCGGAUACCGCCCA
Molecule: transfer RNA, 73 nt
Filed under: Acidobacteriota bacterium
Lineage: Bacteria; Pseudomonadati; Acidobacteriota
Also listed under: 1 other name
Description: Acidobacteria bacterium tRNA-Val
Rfam family: tRNA
About the family: Transfer RNA (tRNA) molecules are approximately 80 nucleotides in length. Their secondary structure includes four short double-helical elements and three loops (D, anti-codon, and T loops).
Source: RNAcentral